AGUUCAGCACUAUCGUAGUUUUCAUCUUUUCUUGAAUGACAAGAUUCAAUAUUGGAUAAUCUAAAGGCUUUUUUGGUAGAGUUUUGAUCUAUGUAUGGAAAACAUGAUGCAAUUCAUGUUGCAACCAAUAAGAUUCGUAUUUUACGACAAGGUAAUCGAUCAAUAAUGAUAUACACUUCACAAUUUUGACAACUUGCAACUGAUAUCAAGUGAGAUGAUGCUGCACUUAUUAGUUAAUUUUUCUACGGAUUAUAAUAUGAGGUAAGAAAAAAUUAAUGCUCAACUUACCUGAUCUACAAACAUUGAGUCAAGCAAUUGACUUUGCUGUGAAGUGCUACAAUU
This 342-nucleotide long non-coding RNA is filed under the name Physcomitrium patens. Its description in RNAcentral is "long non-coding RNA (PPAT_LNC004018)". The record is from RNAcentral. Lineage: Eukaryota; Viridiplantae; Streptophyta; Bryopsida; Funariales; Funariaceae.